This 89-nucleotide transfer RNA is filed under the name Pseudoselenomonas ruminantium. RNAcentral describes it as "Selenomonas ruminantium (feces metagenome) tRNA-Ser". It matches the Rfam family "tRNA". From Rfam's summary of the family: Transfer RNA (tRNA) molecules are approximately 80 nucleotides in length. Lineage: Bacteria; Bacillati; Bacillota; Negativicutes; Selenomonadales; Selenomonadaceae. RNAcentral also lists the same sequence under 3 other names. The record is from RNAcentral.
GGAGAGGUGUCCGAGUGGUCGAAGGUGCUUGACUCGAAAUCAAGUGAGGUUAAUAGCCUCCGUGGGUUCGAAUCCCACCCUCUCUGCCA